AGUGAACGCUGGCGGCAGGCCUAACACAUGCAAGUCGAACGGCAGCACAGAGGAGCUUGCUCCUUGGUGGCGAGUGGCGGACGGGUGAGGAAUACAUCGGAAUCUGCCCAGUCGUGGGGGAUAACAUAGGGAAACUUAUGCUAAUACCGCAUACGACCUACGGGUGAAAGCGGGGGAUCGCAAGACCUCGCGCGAUUGGAUGAGCCGAUGUCCGAUUAGCUAGUUGGCGGGGUAAUGGCCCACCAAGGCGACGAUCGGUAGCUGGUCUGAGAGGAUGAUCAGCCACACUGGAACUGAGACACGGUCCAGACUCCUACGGGAGGCAGCAGUGGGGAAUAUUGGACAAUGGGCGCAAGCCUGAUCCAGCCAUGCCGCGUGGGUGAAGAAGGCC
RNAcentral lists this ribosomal RNA (391 nucleotides) under uncultured bacterium. RNAcentral describes it as "bacterial SSU rRNA". It matches the Rfam family "Bacterial small subunit ribosomal RNA", at positions 29 to 416 of the family's 1533-position model. The record is from RNAcentral.